This 497-nucleotide ribosomal RNA is filed under the name uncultured bacterium. Its description in RNAcentral is "partial 16S ribosomal RNA". It matches the Rfam family "Bacterial small subunit ribosomal RNA", at positions 28 to 507 of the family's 1533-position model. The record is from RNAcentral.
GAUGAACGCUGGCGGCGUGCCUAAUACAUGCAAGUCGAGCGAACAGAUGAGGAGCUUGCUCCUCUGACGUUAUCGGCGGACGGGUGAGUAACACGUGGAUAACCUACCUAUAAGACUGGGAUAACUUCGGGAAACCGGAGCUAAUACCGGAUAAUAUAUUGAACCGCAUGGUUCAAUAGUGAAAGACGGUUUUGCUGUCACUUAUAGAUGGAUCCGCGCCGCAUUAGCUAGUUGGUAAGGUAACGGCUUACCAAGGCAACGAUGCGUAGCCGACCUGAGAGGGUGAUCGGACACACUGGAAGUGAGACACGGUCCAGACUCCGACGGGAGGCAGCAGUAGGGAAUCUUACGCAAUGGGCGAAAGCCUGACGGAGAAAAGCCGCGUGAGGGAUGAAGGUCUUCGGAUCGUAAAACUAUGUUAUUAGGGAAGAACAAAUGUGUAAGUAACUAUGAACGUCUUGACGGUACCUAAUCAGAAAGCCACGGCUAACUACGUG